AACGUACUCCCUCUGUCUGGAAAUAUUUGUCAUCAAAGUAAAUAAAAGGGCAUGUAUCUAGAUGUAUUUUAGUUCUAGAUACAUCCUCUUUGUCCAUUUUGAUAACAAGUAUUUUUAGCCGGAGGGAGUACCUG
This is a non-coding RNA of Triticum urartu, 134 nucleotides long. The record is from Rfam. NCBI's taxonomy places the organism in Eukaryota, Viridiplantae, Streptophyta, Magnoliopsida, Poales, Poaceae.